RNAcentral lists this ribosomal RNA (429 nucleotides) under Gemmatimonadota bacterium. RNAcentral's name for it is "Gemmatimonadetes bacterium partial 16S ribosomal RNA". It matches the Rfam family "Bacterial small subunit ribosomal RNA", at positions 355 to 776 of the family's 1533-position model. Lineage: Bacteria; Pseudomonadati; Gemmatimonadota. The record is from RNAcentral.
UAGGGAAUCUUCGGCAAUGGACGAAAGUCUGACCGAGCAACGCCGCGUGAGUGAAGAAGGUUUUCGGAUCGUAAAACUCUGUUGUUAGAGAAGAACAAGGACGUUAGUAACUGAACGUCCCCUGACGGUAUCUAACCAGAAAGCCACGGCUAACUACGUGCCAGCAGCCGCGGUAAUACGUAGGUGGCAAGCGUUGUCCGGAUUUAUUGGGCGUAAAGCGAGCGCAGGCGGUUUCUUAAGGCUGAUGUGAAAGCCCCCGGCUCAACCGGGGAGGGUCAUUGGAAACUGGGAGACUUGAGUGCAGAAGAGGAGAGUGGAAUUCCAGGUGUAGCGGUGAAAUGCGUAGAUAUAUGGAGGAACACCAGUGGCGAAGGCGGCUCUCUGGUCUGUAACUGACGCUGAGGCUCGAAAGCGUGGGGAGCAAACAGG